This 363-nucleotide long non-coding RNA is filed under the name Prunus dulcis (almond). RNAcentral's name for it is "sRNA ncRNA". The record is from RNAcentral. Lineage: Eukaryota; Viridiplantae; Streptophyta; Magnoliopsida; Rosales; Rosaceae.
AUUCAGAGACGGAUCCACCAUGGGGUCAAUGGGGUCAGACGACCCCACGGCAGAUCUGGAGUUUAGUGGUAGGGACUGGUUUUUGCCCUUGGCAGCCAUGGAAGUGACCCCAUGGAGAAGAAGAAGAAGCUUCGGUGGUGGCAGCUGGAGCAAGAAGAAAGAGAGAGAGGGAAGAGAGAUGGAGCAGACGGAGGAGAGAGAAGAAAGAAACGAAGAAGAGAGGAAGAAGGAAAAAGAAUAAAAAAAAGAGAGGGGAAAAAGGAAGAAGGAAAAAGAAUAAAGAAAGAGGGAGACGGGAGGAGGGAGGAGGGAGAGCGAGAAAGAGGAAAAAAUAAUAAAAAAGAGAGGGAGUGAUUAAAAAGA